AUUGGACGCUGGCGACAUGCCUUACACAUGCAAGUCGAACGGCAGCACGGGUGCUUGCACCUGGUGGCGAGUGGCGAACGGGUGAGUAAUACAUCGGAACAUGUCCUGUAGUGGGGGAUAGCCCGGCGAAAGCCGGAUUAAUACCGCAUACGAUCUACGGAUGAAAGCGGGGGACCUUCGGGCCUCGCGCUAUAGGGUUGGCCGAUGGCUGAUUAGCUAGUUGGUGGGGUAAAGGCCUACCAAGGCGACGAUCAGUAGCUGGUCUGAGAGGACGACCAGCCACACUGGGACUGAGACACGGCCCAGACUCCUACGGGAGGCAGCAGUGGGGAAUUUUGGACAAUGGGCGAAAGCCUGAUCCAGCAAUGCCGCGUGUGUGAAGAAGGCCUUCGGGUUGUAAAGCACUUUUGUCCGGAAAGAAAUCCUUGGCCCUAAUACGGUCGGGGGAUGACGGUACCGGAAGAAUAAGCACCGGCUAACUACGUG
This 486-nucleotide ribosomal RNA is filed under the name uncultured bacterium. Its description in RNAcentral is "partial 16S ribosomal RNA". It matches the Rfam family "Bacterial small subunit ribosomal RNA", at positions 30 to 507 of the family's 1533-position model. The record is from RNAcentral.